AGCGAACGCUGGCGGCAGGCCUAACACAUGCAAGUCGAACGAACCUUUCGGGGUUAGUGGCGGACGGGUGAGUAACACGUGGGAACGUGCCUUUAGGUUCGGAAUAACUCAGGGAAACUUGUGCUAAUACCGAAUGUGCUCUUCGGGGGAAAGAUUUAUCGCCUUUAGAGCGGCCCGCGUCUGAUUAGCUAGGUGGUUGAGGUAAUGGCUCACCAAGGCGACGAUCAGUAGCUGGUCUGAGAGGAUGAUCAGCCACAUUGGGACUGAGACACGGCCCAAACUCCUACGGGAGGCAGCAGUGGGGAAUCUUGCGCAAUGGGCGAAAGCCUGACGCAGCCAUGCCGCGUGAAUGAUGAAGGUCUUAGGAUUGUAAAAUUCUUUCACCGGGGACGAUAAUGACGGUACCCGGAGAAGAAGCCCCGGCUAACUUCGUG
This 434-nucleotide ribosomal RNA is filed under the name uncultured bacterium. RNAcentral's name for it is "partial 16S ribosomal RNA". It matches the Rfam family "Bacterial small subunit ribosomal RNA", at positions 29 to 507 of the family's 1533-position model. The record is from RNAcentral.